RNAcentral lists this transfer-messenger RNA (340 nucleotides) under Anaerocolumna aminovalerica. It matches the Rfam family "transfer-messenger RNA". From Rfam's summary of the family: Bacterial tmRNA, also known as 10Sa RNA or SsrA, is named for its dual tRNA and mRNA-like properties. Lineage: Bacteria; Bacillati; Bacillota; Clostridia; Lachnospirales; Lachnospiraceae. The record is from RNAcentral.
GGGCCAGUAAUAGGUUCGACGGGCUGGAUGUAGUUGGAGAAGCUAUCCGUAGGUGAGACGUUACAUCACAAAAUUAAAAAUAAACGCAGACGAAAAUUUAGCGUACGCUGCCUAAUGGCAGCUGUCUGACUUAGGGCACCUACACCUUAAGACCCAGGCAUCGACUAUGUAGGAAACGACAUAUGCAAAGCUUUGAGCAUAUGGGCGUAUUAUGAAGCUACUGAAAUCAGAAGGGUGUUAGUUCUCGUCUGAUGGAGGGAAUGUCAAAGAACUGACUAUGAUAGUAGAAGUACAAUGGAGUCUGGUUCGGACACGGGGGCGGUACCCGUCUGGUCCAUCA